This 1017-nucleotide long non-coding RNA is filed under the name Olea europaea (common olive). RNAcentral describes it as "long non-coding RNA (OEUR_LNC003904)". The record is from RNAcentral. Lineage: Eukaryota; Viridiplantae; Streptophyta; Magnoliopsida; Lamiales; Oleaceae.
ACUGUUCAAGUUGUCCACUUAGAUUAUUUAAAGAUCAUAAAAGUCAAGUUCUAGCUAAUUGUUGUCAGGCUUCAAGACUAGUGACACUGCAUACUCAAAUCUGCAGAAGAGAUGCCUACAAGAGAUAGUAGGGUUCUAAAUUUCUAAUAUACAGGCAUUUUCGAACUUUAAAUGAACAUUUACAUUCCAAUCAUCUUCCCAACCUUUCUAUGUUAGCAUUGAUUACUCAUUUACUUACAAAGAAAGUUUAAAUUGUUUUCUAUUUGUUUCUAGAGAAUGAGAACACAAAUAUUGGCACGAGGGAGAAUGACUUUUGUUAUGUUUUUUUUCCGCUUUAUAGAGCUAUAUAUGUCACCAAAUUAUCAAGAUAUUCUACAUAACCAUUUUUACAUGCACCACCAAUGUAUGAGAAACAAAACCAAGUGAAAGAAAUCUGAGUGAGUACCAAGGAAAUGAAAUACUGAACUAAAUUUGAGCGAAAAGCUACUCACUUUCAGAAAACAUGAAUAAAACGACAUCAGGCAAACUUACCCUAAAGCUAUAGGUCCUGAUAUUGAUGUAUCACCAACUUUAUCUAUCUUGCGUAGCACUGCAUUGCUGUAAGAAAACACCAGAAGAUUCAUAACAAAUGGUUAGAGAAAGAAUGUAACUCAUUUUCCUAAAAAUAAAUAGAAGCCUACUUCAUGUGUCGAGAAUGUUGAGAGAGAGAGAAAGAUCUUGCGGCACUGUAUCUACGACCAGAACUGUCGAAUGUCGAACCACCCAUCUUGGUUGAUGAAACUCCUUUUAAGUAAUUCAGAUCCGUAUUAUAACCUAAAAGACCUUUAUCUUCUAUUUUAUUUCUACAAAAUUUCAAAUUUUGAUCUUCCGUCCUAAAAAUUAGAGUAGAGGAGCGGAGUUAUAUAACUAUGCAGUCAUGACCACAACAUGCAACUAAUAAGGAAGUCUCAACAAAUUUUAAAGUCUUCGGCCUCCCAAAAAAACACGGGCUUGAAAUUUAUGGGUCAACCUGNNNNN